This 1593-nucleotide ribosomal RNA is filed under the name Sorex minutissimus (miniscule shrew). Its description in RNAcentral is "16S ribosomal RNA". It matches the Rfam family "Bacterial large subunit ribosomal RNA". Lineage: Eukaryota; Metazoa; Chordata; Mammalia; Eulipotyphla; Soricidae. The record is from RNAcentral.
ACUAAAGCUAGCCCAAACAACAACUAAACUUGUCCAAAUAUCAGACAACUUUAAACUAAAACAUUUAUCUAUUAAAGUAUAGGAGAUAGAAAUUUUAAUUUGGCGCUAUAGAGAAAGUACCGUAAGGGAAUGAGUGAAAGAAACAAUUAAAAGUACAAAACAGCAAAGAUUACCCCUUGUACCUUUCAAGAUUAACCCUUGUACCUUUUGCAUAAUGAUUUAACUAGAAAAGCUUUAGCAAAGAGAUCUUAAGUUAAAUACCCCGAAACCAGACGAGCUAUCCAUGAACAGCCAAAAUAGAGCGAACUCGUCUAUGUAGCAAAAUAGUGAGAAGAUUUAUGGAUAGAGGUGAAAAGCCUACCGAGCCUGGUGAUAGCUGGUUGUCCAGAUAAGAAUUUUAGUUCAACUUUAAAUUUACUACAAAAACCCAUAAUUAUCCCGUAAAUUUAACUGUUAAUCUAAAGGGGUACAGCCCUUUAGACCAAGGGUACAACCUUAAUUAGAGAGUAAAAUAUGUUAAUAACCAUAGUUGGCCUAAAAGCAGCCAUCAAUUAAGAAAGCGUUCAAGCUCAACAACAGCCUACUUCUUAAUCUAAUAAUUAUUUAUUAACUCCUAAUUUACCACUGGACCAAUCUAUUAAUUAAUAGAAGAAAUACUGUUAAUAUGAGUAACAAGAUUUAUAUCUCCCAGCACAAGCUUAUGUCAGACCGAAUAACAACUGAUAGUUAACAGCCAGAUAAAUAUAAAUUCAUAUAAAUUAUUUAUUAACUCACUGUUAAUCCAACACAGGUGUGCACUAAGGAAAGAUUAAAGAAAUAAAAGGAACUCGGCAAACACAAACCCCGCCUGUUUACCAAAAACAUCACCUCUAGCAUUACUAGUAUUAGAGGCACUGCCUGCCCAGUGACAACUGUUAAACGGCCGCGGUAUCCUGACCGUGCAAAGGUAGCAUAAUCAUUUGUUCCUUAAAUAGGGACUUGUAUGAAUGGCCACACGAGGGUUUAACUGUCUAUUAUUUAUAAUCAGUGAAAUUGACCUUUCCGUGAAGAGGCGGAAAUACUCUAAUAAGACGAGAAGACCCUAUGGAGCUUUAAUUGCCUUAACUCAACAGAAUAACACUUAACCCCACCAAGGGCUAACAAUUAUUCUAACUGGGUUAUAAAUUUCGGUUGGGGUGACCUCGGAGCAUAAAACAACCCCCGAGAAUUUUCUACUAAGACUAACAAGUCAAAGUAAAAUUUUACAAAUUGAUCCAGUCUUACUGAUCAACGGAACAAGUUACCCUAGGGAUAACAGCGCAAUCCUAUUCUAGAGUCCCUAUCGACAAUAGGGUUUACGACCUCGAUGUUGGAUCAGGACAUCCCAAUGGUGCAGCAGCUAUUAAUGGUUCGUUUGUUCAACGAUUAAAGUCCUACGUGAUCUGAGUUCAGACCGGAGUAAUCCAGGUCGGUUUCUAUCUAUUAAAUAUUUUUCCCAGUACGAAAGGACAAGAAAAAUAGGGCCUACUCCUAACGAGCGCCCUCAAGUAAAUAAAUGAUAUUAUCUUAAUUUAAUUAACUUAUUAUCAUAUCCUCCCCCUAGACCAAGGUUUC